RNAcentral lists this ribosomal RNA (497 nucleotides) under uncultured bacterium. RNAcentral's name for it is "partial 16S ribosomal RNA". It matches the Rfam family "Bacterial small subunit ribosomal RNA", at positions 28 to 507 of the family's 1533-position model. The record is from RNAcentral.
GAUGAACGCUGGCGGCGUGCCUAAUACAUGCAAGUCGAGCGAACGGACGAGGAGCUUGCCUCUCUGACGUUAGCGGCGGGCGGGUGAGUAACACGUGGAUAACCUACCUAUAAGACUGGGAUAACUUCGGGAAACCGGAGCUAAUACCGGAUAAUAUAUUGAACCGCAUGGUUCAUUAGUGAAAGACGGUUUUGCUGUCACUUAUAGAUGGAUCCGCGCCGCAUUAGCUAGUUGGUAAGGUAACGGCUUACCAAGGCGACGAUGCGUAGCCGACCUGAGAGGGUGAUCAGCCACACUGGAACUGAGACACGGUCCAGACUCCUACGGGAGGCAGCAGUAGGGAAUCUUCCGCAAUGGGCGAAAGCCUGACGGAGCAACGCCGCGUGAGUGAUGAAGGUCUUCGGAUCGUAAAGCUCUGUUAUUAGGGAAGAACAAAUGUGUAAGUAACUAUGCACGUCUUGACGGUACCUAAACAGAAAGCCACGGCUAACUACGUG